RNAcentral lists this ribosomal RNA (496 nucleotides) under uncultured bacterium. Its description in RNAcentral is "partial 16S ribosomal RNA". It matches the Rfam family "Bacterial small subunit ribosomal RNA", at positions 29 to 507 of the family's 1533-position model. The record is from RNAcentral.
AUGAACGCUGGCGGCGUGCCUAAUACAUGCAAGUCGAGCGAACAGAUGAGGAGCUUGCUCCUCUGACGUUAGCGGCGGACGGGUGAGUAACACGUGGAUAACCUACCUAUAAGACUGGGAUAACUUCGGGAAACCGGAGCUAAUACCGGAUAAUAUAUUGAACCGCAUGGUUCAAUAGUGAAAGACGGUUUUGCUGUCACUUAUAGAUGGAUCCGCGCCGCAUUAGCUAGUUGGUAAGGUAACGGCUUACCAAGGCAACGAUGCGUAGCCGACCUGAGAGGGUGAUCGGCCACACUGGAACUGGGACACGGUCCAGACUCCUACGGGAGGCAGCAGUAGGGAAUCUUCCGCAAUGGGCGAAAGCCUGACGGAGCAACGCCGCGUGAGUGAUGAAGGUCUUCGGAUCGUAAAACUCUGUUAUUAGGGAAGAACAAAUGUGUAAGUAACUAUGCACGUCUUGACGGUACCUAAUCAGAAAGCCACGGCUAACUACGUG